RNAcentral lists this ribosomal RNA (434 nucleotides) under uncultured Lachnospiraceae bacterium. RNAcentral's name for it is "bacterial SSU rRNA". It matches the Rfam family "Bacterial small subunit ribosomal RNA", at positions 341 to 792 of the family's 1533-position model. The record is from RNAcentral. RNAcentral also lists the same sequence under 1 other name. Lineage: Bacteria; Bacillati; Bacillota; Clostridia; Lachnospirales; Lachnospiraceae.
ACGGGAGGCAGCAGUGGGGAAUAUUGCACAAUGGGGGAAACCCUGAUGCAGCGACGCCGCGUGAAGGAAGAAGUAUUUCGGUAUGUAAACUUCUAUCAGCAGGGAAGAAGAUGACGGUACCUGACUAAGAAGCCCCGGCUAACUACGUGCCAGCAGCCGCGGUAAUACGUAGGGGGCAAGCGUUAUCCGGAUUUACUGGGUGUAAAGGGAGCGUAGACGGAGCAGCAAGUCUGAUGUGAAAGACCGGGGCUUAACCCCGGGCCUGCAUUGGAAACUGUUGAUCUUGAGUGCCGGAGGGGUAAGCGGAAUUCCUGGUGUAGCGGUGAAAUGCGUAGAUAUCAGGAGGAACACCGGUGGCGAAGGCGGCUUACUGGACGGCAACUGACGUUGAGGCUCGAAAGCGUGGGGAGCAAACAGGAUUAGAUACCCUGGUA